GGGUACGAGAGGGCCGCUACCACGCGAGUGGAUGCCAAUCCCUAAAACCCCUCUCAGUUCGGACUGGAGUCUGCAACCCGACUCCACGAAGCUGGAUUCGCUAGUAAUCGCGCAUCAGCCACGGCGCGGUGAAUACGUUCCCGGGCCUUGUACACACCGCCCGUCAAGCCAUGGGAGCCGGGGGUACCUGAAGUGCGUAACCGCGAGGAUCGCCCUAGGGUAAAACUGGUGACUGGGGCUAAGUCGUAACAAGGUAGC
RNAcentral lists this ribosomal RNA (258 nucleotides) under uncultured bacterium. RNAcentral describes it as "partial 16S ribosomal RNA". It matches the Rfam family "Bacterial small subunit ribosomal RNA", at positions 1235 to 1500 of the family's 1533-position model. The record is from RNAcentral.